AGAGUUUGAUCAUGGCUCAGGAUGAACGCUAGCGGCAGGCUUAAUACAUGCAAGUCGAGGGGCAGCAGGACUGUAGCAAUACAGUUGCUGGCGACCGGCAAACGGGUGCGGAACACGUACGCAACCUUCCUUCAAAUGAGGAAUAGCCUUUCGAAAGAGAGAUUAAUACCUCGUAACAUUUUCUGGUGGCAUCACCGGAUUAUUAUAGCUCCGGCGUUUGAAGAUGGGCGUGCGCCUGAUUAGGUAGUUGGCGGAGUAAUAGCCCACCAAGCCUACGAUCAGUAACUGGUGUGAGAGCACGACCAGUCACACGGGCACUGAGACACGGGCCCGACUUCUACGGGAGGCAGCAGUAAGGAAUAUUGGUCAAUGGACGCAAGUCUGAACCAGCCAUGCCGCGUGGAGGAUGAAGGUCCUCUGGAUUGUAAACUUCUUUUAUCGGAGAAGAAACCCCUGAAUUCUUUUAGGGUUGACGGUACCCGAUGAAUAAGCACCGGCUGACUCCGUGCCAGCAGCCGCGGUAAUACGGAGGGUGCAAGCGUUAUCCGGAUUCACUGGGUUUAAAGGGAGCGUAGGUGGGGUGGUAAGUCAGUGGUGAAAUCUCCGGGCUUAACUCGGAAACUGCCGUUGAUACUAUCAUUCUUGAAUAUUGUGGAGGUAAGCGGAAUAUGUCAUGUAGCGGUGAAAUGCUUAGAUAUGACAUAGAACACCGAUAGCGAAGGCAGCUUGCUACACAAUUAUUGACACUGAGGCUCGAAAGCGUGGGGAUCAAACAGGAUUAGAUACCCUGGUAGUCCACGCCCUAAACGAUGGAUACUCGACAUACGCGAUACACAGUGUGUGUCUGAGCGAAAGCAUUAAGUAUCCCACCUGGGAAGUACGACCGCAAGGUUGAAACUCAAAUGAAUUGACGG
This 914-nucleotide ribosomal RNA is filed under the name uncultured bacterium. RNAcentral's name for it is "bacterial SSU rRNA". It matches the Rfam family "Bacterial small subunit ribosomal RNA", at positions 8 to 916 of the family's 1533-position model. The record is from RNAcentral.